AGAUUGAACGCUGGCGGCAUGCCUAACACAUGCAAGUCGAGCGGCAGCGCGGGGGCGACCCUGGCGGCGAGCGGCGGACGGGUGAGUAAGGCAUCGGAACGUAUCCUUGAGUGGGGGAUAACGCAGCCGAAAGUUGUGCUAAUACCGCAUAAGCUCUGAGGAGGAAAGCGGGGGGACCGAAAGGCCUCGCGCUGAAGGAGCGGCCGAUGUCCGAUUAGCUAGUUGGUGAGGUAAAGGCUUACCAAGGCGACGAUCGGUAGCUGGUCUGAGAGGAUGAUCAGCCACACUGGGACUGAGACACGGCCCAGACUCCUACGGGAGGCAGC
Molecule: ribosomal RNA, 326 nt
Filed under: uncultured prokaryote
Description: bacterial SSU rRNA
Rfam family: Bacterial small subunit ribosomal RNA
Source: RNAcentral